CGUUACUCUUAAAGGGGCCGCCGCACUCGCAGGCGGGCGCCCAGCGCCCGGGCCGGGGCGAGCGCAUGAGCCGCGCGCGCGGGCUGCUGUGCCGCGCCUGCCUCGCGCUGGCCGCGGUCCUGGCUGUAUUGCUGCUGCUGCCCCUGCCCCUGCCGCUGCCUCGCGCGCCCGCCCCGGACUCCGGCCGGCUCCCGACCCCGGGCCGGACCCCCGUGGUCUCCCGCCUGCAGCCCGACGACAUCUUCAUCGCUGUCAAGAGCACUCGGAAGAACCACGGUCCGCGCCUGCGGCUGCUGCUGCGCACCUGGAUCUCGCGAGCCCCACGACAGACGUUCAUCUUCACCGAUGGAGACGACCCUGAGCUCCAGCAGCUGGCAGGCGGCCGCAUGAUCAACACCAAUUGCUCUGCUGUGCGCACCCGCCAGGCACUAUGCUGUAAGAUGUCGGUGGAAUACGAUAAGUUCAUAGAGUCUGGACGAAGAUGGUUCUGCCACGUGGAUGAUGACAACUACGUGAACCCCAAAAGCCUGCUGCACUUGCUUUCCACUUUCUCGUCCAACCAGGACAUCUAUCUGGGACGACCGAGUCUGGACCACCCCAUCGAAGCCACUGAGAGGGUCCAGGGCGGAGGCUCAUCAAACACAGUGAAAUUCUGGUUUGCUACUGGUGGGGCUGGGUUCUGCCUGAGCAGGGGCCUUGCCCUCAAAAUGAGCCCAUGGGCCAGCCUCGGCAGUUUCAUGAGCACAGCGGAGCGGGUGCGGCUGCCUGAUGACUGCACGGUGGGCUACAUCGUGGAGGGGCUCCUGGGUGCCCGGCUGCUCCACAGCUCCCUGUUCCACUCGCACCUGGAGAACCUGCAGAGGCUGCCGUCCGAUGCUGUGCUGCAGCAGGUGAAGGACCCCGGAGGAAGAACUGACCCUCCCUCUCCCUGGUCCCCCCUCCCAGGUCACCCUGAGCUAUGGGGGCCCUGAGGACCCACGUAAUGUGGUGAACGUGGCCGGAAGCUUCAGUAUACAACAGGACCCUACACGGUUUCAGUCUGUGCACUGCCUUCUCUAUCCAGACACCCACUGGUGUCCUGUGAAGAACAGGGCUGAAGCAGCUUUUCAGUAACUGGCAGCCCCUGGCGCUGCUCUGCGCGGUUCCCUCAGCCCUUGGGUUCAGGCUGAAGCUGCUUGCAGGCUCCCAGGCUCCCUGCUCCAGCUGGACACCAGGAACCUCCAGAAAAUGAGGACAGCUGGGCCGUGCAUGCUGAGAUCAUCCCGGAACAAACACUGCUGAGCCGAGAUGCCUCUAGCCCAAAGGUCCUUCCCAUGGCUAAGGUCUCCUACCCGAGUGUCUGUGGCCCAGAAGGGGACUGGUUCUCAGCACCGCACAGCUGCAGCUUUCCUCACCUGUGGAAGAUGGUCCAGGUGGGCUGGCCAGUAAGGGGUGGGCUCCAAGCCUGCCCACAGGCUCUUCCAGAGGGCUCACAAGGCCCCUGCUACCACCCGGGAUGUGCAGAUGACCUGGCCAGUGGACACGAACGACCAGCUCCAAGGCUGUGCUUCCAAGCAGAUCUGCUGUUCUGCCACCAUCUGUGGCCUCCCGAGCUUCCCACAGGCCAAUAGCACAGCUAGAUCCUUUCCUCUGGGCCCCUCAGGAACAAGGGGCAGACCCAGGGGCACCCUGCGGGGGUCGGGGGCUGUCAGAGGAUUGAGUAAAGGCGUCUCUGUCAUUUCCA
This is an RNA transcript of Meriones unguiculatus (Mongolian gerbil), 1723 nucleotides long. It is a transcript of the gene named RFNG O-fucosylpeptide 3-beta-N-acetylglucosaminyltransferase, with no coding region annotated. The record is from RefSeq and is a predicted model, not a curated record. The transcript has 8 exons. NCBI's taxonomy places the organism in Eukaryota, Metazoa, Chordata, Mammalia, Rodentia, Muridae.